Molecule: ribosomal RNA, 520 nt
Filed under: uncultured Entrophospora
Lineage: Eukaryota; Fungi; Glomeromycota; Glomeromycetes; Entrophosporales; Entrophosporaceae
Description: SSU rRNA
Rfam family: Eukaryotic small subunit ribosomal RNA
Source: RNAcentral
AGCAGCCGCGGUAAUUCCAGCUCCAAUAGCGUAUAUUAAAGUUGUUGCAGUUAAAAGCUCGUAGUUGAAUUUCGGGAUUGGCGCAUCGGUCGUGCCUCACGGGGUAUGAACUGGUGCAGUCAAUUUCUCACCUUCUGGAGAACCGCGAUGUCCUUAAUUGGAUGCCGCGGGGAACCAGGACCUUUACUUUGAAAAAUUAGAGUGUUUAAAGCAGGCAUUUUUGCUUGAAUACAUUAGCAUGGAAUAAUAAAAUAGGACGGCAUGGUUCUAUUUUGUUGGUUUCUAGGACCACCGUAAUGAUUAAUAGGGAUAGUUGGGGGCAUUAGUAUUCAAUUGUCAGAGGUGAAAUUCUUGGAUUUAUUGAAGACUAACUACUGCGAAAGCAUUUGCCAAGGAUGUUUUCAUUAAUCAAGAACGAAAGUUAGGGGAUCGAAGACGAUCAGAUACCGUCGUAGUCUUAACCAUAAACUAUGCCGACUAGGAAUCAGACGAUGUUAAUUUUUAAUGACUCGUUUGGCAC